UACGUAGGGUGCGAGCGUUGUCCGGAAUUACUGGGCGUAAAGCGUGCGUAGGUGGUGAGUUAAGUCUGUCGUGAAAGCCCCGGGCUCAACCUGGGAAUGGCGAUGGAUACUGGCUCGCUAGAGUGCGGUAGAGGAGAGUGGAAUUCCCGGUGUAGCAGUGAAAUGCGUAGAGAUCGGGAGGAACAUCAGUUGCGAAGGCGGCUCUCUGGACCAGCACUGACACUGAGGCACGAAAGCGUGGGGAGCAAACAGG
Molecule: ribosomal RNA, 253 nt
Filed under: uncultured bacterium
Lineage: Bacteria
Description: partial 16S ribosomal RNA
Rfam family: Bacterial small subunit ribosomal RNA
Source: RNAcentral